AUAAUUAUAACCCUAUCGCUUUAACAUACGCAAGUAAAUAAUUAAUUUAGAGUAAGCCAAGCAUAAUUAAACCUUAUUUGUAUGUUAUUAAGAAAUUGUCAACUGAACACGACAUUAGAUUUGUCACACAAGCACAAAAACUGCGUAGCUUAAUUUAAAAGUUACAAGUCCUGAUUAACCUUUAUUCAAAUUUAUAUCUUAACACACCAAAUGAAGUGUGUAUUUCGAGUGUUACGCGGAUUUAGUUAUGUCUCUUUGUCAUCGAUGUUGUCCAUCACAAUGCUGCGUCACUCAGUCUUAUCUUGAAGCGCAAUGAAGAUUGCAGUGAUUUUUGUAUUCAUAAUUUUGGCGAUAUCACACUUCUCCUUUUCUGACACGAGAACUUACCAAGAUACCCAUCUCGUGCGUGUUAUAAAGAGCCUGAGAUCCGGAAGGGGUAGAAAACCUAUGUUGAAAGUAUUAUUGCUGAAAGGAAAACGUAAAAAAAAAGUUGAUGUCCAUUCAACCAACUGGAGCAAAAUGGACUGGCUGGAUAGCCGAAGACGAAUUAUUCCAAUUAUUUUAAACAAAUAGAAUUAAUUGAAACAAA
Molecule: long non-coding RNA, 589 nt
Organism: Cydia strobilella
Lineage: Eukaryota; Metazoa; Arthropoda; Insecta; Lepidoptera; Tortricidae
Exons: 3
Source: RefSeq, a predicted model, not a curated record